RNAcentral lists this ribosomal RNA (492 nucleotides) under uncultured bacterium. RNAcentral describes it as "partial 16S ribosomal RNA". It matches the Rfam family "Bacterial small subunit ribosomal RNA", at positions 29 to 507 of the family's 1533-position model. The record is from RNAcentral.
AGUGAACGCUGGCGGUAGGCCUAACACAUGCAAGUCGAACGGCAGCACAGUAAGAGCUUGCUCUUACGGGUGGCGAGUGGCGGACGGGUGAGGAAUACAUCGGAAUCUACUUUUUCGUGGGGGAUAACGUAGGGAAACUUACGCUAAUACCGCAUACGCCCUACGGGUGAAAGCAGGGGAUCUUCGGACCUUGCGCGAUUGAAUGAGCCGAUGUCGGAUUAGCUAGUUGGCGGGGUAAAGGCCCACCAAGGCGACAAUCCGUAGCUGGUCUGAGAGGAUGAUCAGCCACACUGGAACGGAGACACGGUCCAGACUCCUACGGGAGGCAGCAGUGGGGAAUAUUGGACAAUGGGCGCAAGCCUGAUCCAGCCAUACCGCGUGGGUGAAGAAGGCCUUCGGGUUGUAAAGCCCUUUUGUUGGGAAAGAAAAGCAGCAGGUUAAUACCCCGCUGUUCUGACGGUACCCAAAGAAUAAGCACCGGCUAACUUCGUG